UUAUUUCAGAACCCAAAGAACAUAGAACCAUAAUCAAUGUAAAUAAACAAUGCUUGAAUACUUUGAGAUAACAACUCACAAUUCAAAACUGAACCAGGAAAGAAAGAAAGAAUCAGGCAAUGCUUUAAAACAAACAUAGAUUUUAUUGAAGACGACAAAUUGAAUCACAUCAUAACAUAUAACAUAAAUGUAAAACCAAACGGAAAAUGUGUUGCUGCAGAUCGAUCCAAGUUAAACGCAAGGGUCACCGCUCAUCACCAGUUUCUAUUGCCACAACCGUUUGCUUUACAGGGGCUCUAUCAACCGACAAUACAAGAUGCCGACGCUUCGUCCCUGUCACGUUGGCCUUCCUCGGAGUGCAUUCCGCAUCUGUGUUCCACUAUUUCAAUAUGCUAGUUCUAUUUGUCGACGAUGAAGGUCCGCGUUUUGACGGAGACGAGUAAGGAAAUAGAUCGCGAUUGAGAUGGCGGAGAGGGUUGACGAACGGAGAGUGGAGCUGGUGAUUGUUUAUGGAUGAUUCGGCGGUGAUUGUAGAUCUGGCCGAGGGUUAUUAGGAUAAUGAUGAUGGAAGUGGGUUAAGAGGAUUCGUCGGCGAGGCGGAGGGUUAAAGGUUUAGCGGUGGUUGAAGAUUUAUGUGGUGGUCGACUAGAUCAGUGGUGGAUUUGUGAACGGAAGAUGGAGGAUGAUGGAGGGUGAAUGACGGUGGUUCCUGGGGUUCGUCGGCGGAUUGCGCUUUGUUUUUUGUUGUUGGUGAGCGGUGGAAUCGAAGCUUGGAGUGAGUGGAAUGGGGUUUUCCGGCAAGAUCGGUGGUAGUUGAGUUUAGCGAUGGAGGUGUCGUGUGGGUUAACGGCAAUGGAGGUUGUGCAUUUGAAGAUGGGUUGAGAUGGUGGUAAAUGGUGGUGGUUAUGAGAGAGGAAGAAGGAUUUUUAUUUGUUUUAUCUUUUUCAGAGAGAGAGAGAUGAGAUUUGUGAGGAAUUGAAAGAGUGGAGGUAGCGUGAGGGAGUUUGAGAAUUCUGUUGUGAGAUUCUCUUAUUAGAGUGUGAGGAGUUUGUUAGAGGGCGCGUGGGGAGAGUGAAGAAAGAUUUUUAUUAUUAUAUUUUCUUUACUAAAUAAUCUAGAAAGAUCCUUUUAGUGGCAGUUGGGAAUGGAAGAGCUGUCAACUUGCAAGACAAAAAGAAUCCAAUGCUAUCUAUAUACAUUUAUUUGAAAUCUGAAAAUUAUAAAGUAUUUAACAAUUAUAUUAAAAAUAGAAUCAAUUCACCAAAAUAAAUUCAAACUAAUUACGUAAUAAAUUCUAAUUUAUUCCAAUGAUAUCUUGAUUAAGAAAAUAAAAGUCGGGAACAAAUAUUCUCGAAAAAUUAAAUUGGACAAGCUAAAAUGAUCAGCACAAAAUAUAUUUAUUGAAAAAAUACAGCGUUUUCUUCAAAUUUUAAUGAUUCAACCGAUUUGUCUGUAUUCUCAAAUAAAUUCAUUCUGACUGACAUUUUAGGUACUAUUCAUGAUGGAAUGUAUGUCAUGCUAUGCAUAUGAUGCAAAAAUAAAAAUGAAAUCAAUUCUGUGAAAAUUUAAAUAUGCCCGGACAAAAUUGGGGUAUGACAGUCCCUACCCUGCAACAAGUAAAGUCUUGGUUGGGGAAAUGCUUUUCUAUGAAGGACCUAGGUGAAGCAGCCUAUAUUUUAGGAAUUAAAAUCUAUAGAGAUAGAUCACAAAAACUGCUUGGCCUAAGUCAGAGUACAUACAUAGACAAAGUGCUGAGACGCUUUAAUAUGCAUGAUUCCAAGAAAGGAUUCAUACCUAUGCAACAUGGCCUGUGUCUAUCAAAAACACAAUCCCCUUCAACUAAGGAAGAAAGGGAUCGCAUGAAUAAGAUUCCAUAUGCAUCUGCAAUAGGAUCUAUCAUAUAUGCCAUGUUAUGUACUCGACCAGAUGUCUCGUAUGCUUUAAGUGCAACGAGUAGGUACCAAUCUGAUCGUGGUGAUGCCCAUUGGCUAGCUGUCAAGAAUAUCCUUAAUUACUUGAGAAGGACUAAGGACUCAUUCUUGAUAUAUGGAGGUCAGGAAGAGUUAGCUGUAUUUGGAUACACUCAUUCUAGCUUCCAGACAGAUAAGGAUGACUUUAGAUCACAAUCUAGUUAUGUGUUUUGCUUAAACGGUGGCGAUGUGAGCUGGAAAAGUUCAAAGCAAGAUACAGUUGUUGAUUCUACAAUCGAGGCCGAGUAUAUUGUUUCCUCAAGUGAAGCAAAGGAAGUUGUUUGGAUCGAAAAGUUCAUUAGUGAACUUGAAAUAGUUCCUAGCAUUGUGGGUCCCAUUGGUCUCUAUUGUGAUAACAAUGGUGCUACCGCACAAGCUAAGGAGCCUAGAUCUCACCAACGAUCCAAAUACAUACUCAGGCGUUAUCACCUCAUUCGAGAGAUAAUAGAUAGAGGAGAUGUGAAAAUAUGUAGAGUACCUACACUUGACAAUAUUGCUGACCCACUGACAAAGCCUCUUGCGCAGCAGCCAUACUAGAUCAAUGGCAUUAGGGGUAUGCCUGAUUGGCUCUUAGUGCUAGUGGGAGAUUGUUGGUGUAGCCUAGAGGCAAUACUUUUGGUACUUGUAUCGAAUAUUUAUUAAUUAAUAAAAGGCUUUUUCUUUAUUAUGUUUGAUUAAUAAAGUCCCUAGAAUAGCUAGUCCGUUUAAUGUAUCAAGUAUGACUUAAUCAUGAGAUCACAUUAAACAUAAGGACAUUAUUCUAUCCGUAGUCGAGCUUUAUUGUGAAGUGGGAUAACAUUAAAGCAUUAAGACUAUUAUGUUUGUAGAUCGAUGAUCACAUCUCAUGGAUCAUGGAUAAAGAGUUAUCAAGUCUUAAACAUAGGUAUGAAUAUUAAGAGUAAUAUUUAUACCACAUUGACCCGCUAUGAGAAUACUAUAUAGAAAGUUAUGCAAAGUUUCAUAAGUUACUCUCAUGGUGAUAAUGGUGUAUACCACUCUUCAACCUGAAACCACUAUGGAUCCUAGAUGUAGAGUCGAGUGCUUUAUUGCUGAUCCAACGUUGUCCGUAAUUGGAUAACCAUAAAGACAGUUGAUGGGUAUUCCACGAAGCAUGGUGAGGGACAUGAGUGACCUAGAUGGAAUUUGCCCAUCCUACGUAACAGGAUAAAUGUCUACGGGCCCAAUAUUGAACUGGACAAGGAUGACACGGUCUAUACCUUGUGUUCAAUAUAGACAUAAGGGCAAAGGGGUAAUUAUAUACAUAAUUAUUAUCACAGGAGGUUUUGUCAGAUCACAUGACAUUGUAGCAGAGAUGUUGUGGC
RNAcentral lists this long non-coding RNA (3292 nucleotides) under Lathyrus oleraceus (garden pea). RNAcentral describes it as "Pisum sativum (pea) long non-coding RNA (PSAT_LNC020978)". The record is from RNAcentral. Lineage: Eukaryota; Viridiplantae; Streptophyta; Magnoliopsida; Fabales; Fabaceae.